GUUAAAAAAAAAUUGGAUUCGUAAACAUACUAAGAAAUUGUGGUGUGAGAAGCUGUUUACACCGUAUUCCGCUAUGAACCAUUUGGGAAUGAAGGUAACGUUUUGAACACGUCUGCUGCUCACAGGAUUCAGAUGAGUGAUGAUAUGUCUUAAACGUGAUAUGUGUUGAACAUGAAAGAGGGUGAAGGAAGAAAGUGUCUUGAAUCUUGGCAAGUCAGCAUGAAAAGAGGAGAAGAGUGGGUGCCAGGUAGGAGGCGAUACUUGCGCGGGUCAUGGCAGCUACCCGUGCCAUGAAAACGUCGCAAACCACCCCGGCCGCCGCGACACACCUAUUGUUCAGGUUGACUAGUUCAAGUUGUUAGACCCUGUAGUGUAGGGCUUACUCCUCUCGCGGCAUCUACAAAGUCACUGAAAGAGCGCAGAUCUUUCUCUCCCCCUUCUUCCCGACUCCCACUCGAUGGGUCGGAAUCCGACUCAGAUGCUCCUGACGACUGAAGGGCACGAGGGCGAGAACGCAAGUCAAGCGUAACGAGCCGUCACCGUGUUCCUUAUCCUGUGUCGCGCUGUGUGUCGCACUGACACACGAUAAGCCGCAAUUAAACGUUGCAACAGUCGAGAGAAUGAACUUAGCAGGUAAGAAAGAAUUUCUAAAAUUCUGAUCCGCACUGGACUGAUUGUGUGAGUUGGGGUGGUGGUGGUUGGGUGUGUCGUGGGGUAUGGGGUGGAGUGAGAGGUGGCGCAAAUGUAAAUGGAGCAGCCUUCUGGAAUUCGAAAUGUCAUAUACAUUGCUCUUAAUUUCUAGUAUGACAAAUAUGAAACCUGUCCACCUGCUCUGCUAUGACUAACUAAAUGAAUUCUAAAAACAGACAUUAGUAUGGUUCUUCAGAAACACUCAAUAAAGAGGCAGUUAACAAAGGUCAAAGGGAGCACGUUUCUAUCUUUCCCGAGGGCGACAAAUCACGUCAACAGUUUUAAAAGAGAAUUGUCGUGGAUGCAUUAUUUGUUCGAAAAAAGCUCCGUGGUCACCUUCACAGUGAUUGCAUGCGAAAACGCAAUUUGUGCAUAAAAUGAGUUGGAAUGCACAGAUUCAAACAGGUGACCGCGAUGAACCUACCAUUAACAGGAACUUGACCGACUUGAACGACAUUAGUUAUUUGUGCAUUACUAGACUAGAGGGAAGCUGAAUGAAGGAUGAAGCCGUAUUUUCAGAAACACGAAUAAAAAUCGGCCACCGAGGUCUCAGAUAACAGUUUCUUGCCUGGCAGUGGCUGUCGUUUCGGGGGAACACCUACAGGUAGCGACUGACCGGAGGUUUCACUGACAGAGUGGAAGGCACCGCAAAAAAUAAAAAUAAAUAAAUGGAUGCAAGGAGCAGAAAACUCAAAGAAGAAACAUUACACCACCCUGCUUGUGGCUUCUCUAAUAAUGGUACAGCUACUGUCGUCAGUGUUCAACUCCCUCCCCGACAAAGUCCAACACCACAGGAUGAUUCAUUUUCAUUUUCAGCAAAUUUCCAGUGAGUCACCAUCUCAAAUUGUUUCACGAUAUUAAAUUAUUUUUUCUGCUCUAUCUCUGUCUCGUUCCUUCUUUCUAAUAAAUCUUCGUAAAUCGGACUGAGAGCUUCACGAUAAACAGAGAAACUUUUUUUUAAACAAAGAAAAACAAAACAAAAUUCUGUGGAUUAUGUGUAUCAUUCUGAA
Pomacea canaliculata is the source of this 1700-nucleotide long non-coding RNA. RefSeq lists it as uncharacterized. The transcript is spliced from 3 exons. The record is from RefSeq and is a predicted model, not a curated record. Lineage: Eukaryota; Metazoa; Mollusca; Gastropoda; Architaenioglossa; Ampullariidae.